Long non-coding RNA from Zingiber officinale, 470 nucleotides. RefSeq lists it as uncharacterized. The transcript is spliced from 2 exons. Lineage: Eukaryota; Viridiplantae; Streptophyta; Magnoliopsida; Zingiberales; Zingiberaceae. The record is from RefSeq and is a predicted model, not a curated record.
UAUGCAGGAAAGUUGCAAAACAACGUUUCCUUUUAUCAACGAAUGGGGAAAACAUAUGUUGUAUUUGUUGGAUAUAAUCCGGGUAUUUAUGAAACAUGGUUAGAAGCAUCAAGUCAAGUUAUUGGCUUUAAAGGCGUCAUACAUCAAUCAUACAAAAGUAGAAUAGAGGCACAAAAAGCUUUUCAAGCGUACUUGGAUAAAAAAUUUGCACCAAUUUCCAUUUCAUCAUGUGCAACUUCAACUUCGGGAUCAAAUUCAAAUUUAGACAAACAACUUUUGAGUUCUGAAGAAAAAACUAAGUUGAAGGAUACAUUAAAAAAAAAUAGAGCAGCUUUUCAAUUCCUAGUUGUUGUUAUUGUUGGUGUUAUUUUUUAUUUUUUUUUAAUCUGAGUUCAAGUUGAACAAUGGUGUUACAAGUGAUGUAUCAAAUUUAAAACAUAUGUUAUGUUAUCUUAAUAUGUUGUGAAACA